This 12917-nucleotide long non-coding RNA is filed under the name Coffea arabica (coffee). Its description in RNAcentral is "long non-coding RNA (CARA_LNC005401)". Lineage: Eukaryota; Viridiplantae; Streptophyta; Magnoliopsida; Gentianales; Rubiaceae. The record is from RNAcentral.
UUUUUUUUUUUUUUUUUUUAGUAAUUUAGGUUGUCAUCUAUAUUACUAAAAUUUACGACAUUAAGAUUUUGCUUACCUGGGCUGAUUUAAAAUCUAGUCUAGCCCAUUAUAUCGUUAAGUGUGGUCAUGGCCCAUUUUUAGACAACAUCCAGAGGCAGCCAGAAGUAAGGCCUUGUUGGAUACUCCGUCACUACACUUAUUUAUUUAUUUAAGUCUUUUUUGUGCUCACAACAUUCCUAAAGUUGUUUAUGAACAUUAUUCGCCAAGAUCAAUGUAAAAAUUUAAAAUUUAUUCAAAAACUUUUGCAACUAAAUACUUAUUUUGUUUUAGAGAAAAAUCCAGUUUUGAUAUCCAAUUUUUGACAUAUGAGCAGUUUUUAUCCUUAAAAUUUGGACAAAAGUAAAUCUGGUAUCUAAUCUUUCAACUUUUGAGUACAUUUAAUACCUUUGAUGAUUUUUUCCCAAAUUGUUACAAAAAAGAGUCACGCGAUAGUCACAUGUUCGGCAACUAUUCUAUUAAAAAUGGCAAAAAAAUGUAAAAUAUCCUUCUGAUACUAAAUACUUAGUUUAAGAACUAAAUCUUACAUCUUUUUGACAUUUUUUUAUGCAAUACUUUACUAUCAUGUGACUCUUUUCGAUAGUAAUUUGAAAAAAUCCGUUAAGGGUACCAAAUGUGUUCAAAAGUUGAAAAAUUGUGUGCUAAAUUUACUUUUGUUCAAAAUUUGGGGACUAAAAGCACUCAUGCAUUGUUUGACAACAAACCAAAAUGGGGCUUACCAUAUUACUGGAAAACAAACUAAGUAUUACAAUCGUAUUGUUAGCUUAAAUUAAAAAUUAGGCUAAGUGAGCGAGCUUUUGUCUCCUUAGUGAGAGUUGCUUUUUCUCUCACUUGGAAAAUGUGUGCUUUUCUCUCUUUCAUGGGAAUUUAAAAUUUCAAACCACAAAAUUCAAAACACGUACUUCUCUGAUACUAAAAUCUUGGCCGGGACAGCAACAAUACAUUGGAAAAUUAAGAUCAGCAAGUCAUAAAUCACUCUAAAUAUGAAUGCGACAUAAAUGCCAAUGGAAGAAAACCAUAUAUUGUUAGCAUAAGAAGCAUCUCCAAGCAUUUCCAUCAGUCGGCUAUAUGCUACUGAUAAGAAGCAUCUCCAAGCUAUAUGCUAUAUCCUCCAACCUUGCCGAAUUCUUGAGCCUUGUCUUCCAAAUUUGUGGUUGUGUCUUGUGUCUAGUAUUCCUUUUCUUCUUUCUGUGUAGCAGCCAAAGCCUUAGUGUGCCUUGUACUGUCCCUUUCUUCUAUUUUCUCUACUCCUUUGGUUGAGUUGGCAUAGUUUUAAGGAAUUGUGUGUGGUAUACUAUUUAAAACUGUCUUAAACAUUAUGGAGGAAGAACUAGCAGAAAUAAUGCAAAAAUUUGUACUUUCAAGCAAAGAGAUAGGUGGAGCUGACCUUAGAUCCAGGGGAUAUAGACUCAAGAAUCAAGGAAUGUCAGGCCAACUUAGUGGAAAGAAUCAUGGGGGAUAAGAUAGUUAAUUUUGUGGGAGUUGAGAACUUUGUCAUCACAGCCUGGGACUAUCCCAAGGAUUUGAAGACGGUGGAACUAGGAUCUAAUUUGUUCCAAUACAACAUUCCAAAGUAAGAAGACAGGAAUCGCAUCUUAAAUGAAGGACCAUAUAUACUGGACAGCCAAAUACUGGUGCUAAGGAAAUGAUUUGCAGGAAUAGAGGAAGAUAGCUCUACAUUUAAUAUAGCUCCAUUAUGGAUACAAGCACAAAACUUGCCCGUCCAGUGGAUUUCCAAAGGAGGAAGUGAUGUGUGCACGGACCUUGGCCCACCAAUGACCCAGUUCAAGUACCAUUGGGCCCAGUCACAUGUGCACGGGCUAAGCAAUUCAAGGAACGUUCAAGACCAACAUGGAGUUCACUAAGAUAUUGAGGGCUUGGAGAGAGACAAUCGAGUCGUUUACACCAUGAUCCAAGUCCACGAAGAGUCAAGCGGGCCACCAAGCGAAUAAGGCCUUAGGCCCCAUCAAUUAGUUAGCAAUUAGUUAAUGAUUAAGUAAGAGCAUGGGCCGGCCCAUCUUGUUCCAAAAACAUGGGCCGACUUUUUCCUUUUCCUAGCCUUUAGGGUUUUAGUCACUUUAGCCUAUAAAUAGGCUUGCUUUGUAAGGUUUAAGGGAGACGUUUUAUCAAUAAAGUUUUGCAUAUUUUCGAUUCUUCUUGAGAGAGAGAUUCGACCCUUUUACUUGCUUUGGCAAGGGUUUUGAGCAGUUUUGCGUUCUGUCCUAGAUUGUUCUACCGACCUAUUCCCCUGGAGUAUUCACCUUCAUCGGAGUGUCGUCUACCGUCUUGAAUCAUAUCGUGUCGUCCGUUUGGUUCUAGACCCCGCAAUUCCAAGCGUUGGACAUCCUCGCUAGAUCCUUGGGCAAACGUGCUACGGGUCUCGAAACGUGUUGAUCGAGGGAUGAGCACAUACACGUGAGCUUGUGUGACGUGAGGAAUCUCCUUUUCUUUGCUUACCAUUUUGGCAGGUCACGCACUCAUGCCUAGAGAAGUUGCAUCUUACCGAUACAACCAAGAAUUCUUGGAGAAUGAGCCUUUCAAGAGGAGGGGUCUCAAGAUGCCUACUCACAAGUACUCUAGUUCCAUGCAAUCCAGUUCACAACAUGGGUAUCAUUCACUCCGGGAGGAGAUGCAACGCCACCGUGCUUUGUGUGUAUAUGAAAGGUAUAAACAAGAUUGUGAUGAGUGUGAGAAGGACCAAAGAAGUCUGCGUAGAGCAUCUAAAUCGAGGUCAACUUCAAGCAAACGAGGUGCAUCUAAGAAGUGUCUUGACAAUCAAGACGAGGAGUUUGAGAAUUCUCGAAUUGAGUCAAAGCUUCGUGAAUCAAAGGAUAAAUUCCGAAGUCGGACUAAUGCAUUGAUUGAUUCUAUGAUGGAAAGACUUAGCCAAGUAUGGGAUUCCCACUUGGAGCAACUUAAUCAUGUGUCGACUGGUGGUAACAAAGGAAAUAUUCAUCCUAGUCCCUCGUCGAUUGAAGAGCCCUCUAUGAAUGAGAUGCAACUAAGCCAUGAACAUAAUCCGAACUCAAGUGCAAUGAAUGGACAAUGGUCCGAGACAAAUGGAGUGGGAAAAGGCAAGAAUAGUUUGGCCUUAUUGAUGAGUAAAGAGGAGGAGUUGGCUAUGUUCGCAAAAGUUGAAAGUCUGGACGUGUUGUUUGCUAACAAGCUAACAUGUGUUUUGUUUAGUACCUCUUCUUUUGUGCAGAUUAAACAAAGUCAAGUAGAGUUGGUCAUGGCAUGUUCCAUUCCCAUGUCACUUGGACACUUUGCGAGUUUCCAUGGAGUUUGUCUUCUAGGAGCUAAAUCUCUUUGGUCUCAAUUCAUGGAACCAUGUCAACUCAAACCCGUCCACACCAUUGGAGGAUUGAUUCGAGCUCGUCUUAAAAGGGAAAUUUCAGAUUCUACUGCUUGUUCUCUACCUAUGGUUUAUUCCUCACCUUUGCCUUAUUUUGAGCAUGAUACUAGCACUAACUCUUGUCGCUCUCAUGUAGGUGUUAAAGAGAAGUGUAAAGGACUAGCACUGGCAUCUCAAGUUGAAUCAAUUGGUAGAAGGAAUAUUGAAGUGUCAAAGGGAGUUUUCUCAUUUCCAUCUUGCUCUACACCUUCUUACCAUCUAGUUAAUAAUGUACCAUUAGUUCUUUACCCGAUUUCCGAAUUGCUUCAAGUUGAAGGUUAUUUUGUUUUUGUAGGUUGUAAUGCUGUCCAAAAUUUUCCAACUAUGGUUAAGGACUUGCAACCCGAUUUCGUGCUUAUUCCUGCUGAAAGUGGAGCAUGUUCGUGCUUCUUCACAUGUCCAAAAGCUGGUCACCACGAGCUUACUUCACCAACUCCAACUUGCACAAAUUCAUAUGAUUCGUAUGGAGUGCGUCUCACUUCAUUGCUGCCACUUUUGUCGGGUGAUACCCACAAAUGUGUCAAUAAAGAUCCGAACGUUGGUCUUACAUCACUGGUUCGUACUUCUAGGGAAGUGCAACCCGAUUGGUUCAAUGUUUCACCUCCAAAUAGGCAAGUUGUGCCAAAUCAGCAACAACCAGGGACGAGUCAUACCACCUUGACAAACCCGAUUUGGAAUUUCUCUUGCUCCCAUGAGCAUCAUUCUGAAGAUCCUUAUCUUGUGCAUGAGAAUGGUGACACUAUAACAAUGCAUGGCCGAAGGAUGAUUAGAGCGCUUUGGAUUGCUACCUGGAAGUUUCGCGAGCCUUACACAAGCUCUUUCCUAUCUUGGCGCAUGUCCUUGUUUGAGAGCCUAAUGAAGCUGACCAAACGACAUUUAACUUGGCUCGUGACCUUUCAUUUGUUCCCAACGUGGCUGACUUCCAAACGCACUAUCGAUUUGAGUUGUCAUACUACUAACUCUUGUUAGUAUCUUCCAUCCCCAUCUAGAUUUGAGGACAAAUCCUUCUUAAGAGGAGGGGACUGAUGUGUGCACGGACCUUGGCCCACCAAUGACCCAGUUCAAGUACCAUUGGGCCCAGUCACAUGUGCACGGGCUAAGCAAUUCAAGGAACGUUCAAGACCAACAUGGAGUUCACUAAGAUAUUGAGGGCUUGGAGAGAGACAAUCGAGUCGUUUACACCAUGAUCCAAGUCCACGAAGAGUCAAGCGGGCCACCAAGCGAAUAAGGCCUUAGGCCCCAUCAAUUAGUUAGCAAUUAGUUAAUGAUUAAGUAAGAGCAUGGGCCGGCCCAUCUUGUUCCAAAAACAUGGGCCGACUUUUUCCUUUUCCUAGCCUUUAGGGUUUUAGUCACUUUAGCCUAUAAAUAGGCUUGCUUUGUAAGGUUUAAGGGAGACGUUUUAUCAAUAAAGUUUUGCAUAUUUUCGAUUCUUCUUGAGAGAGAGAUUCGACCCUUUUACUUGCUUUGGCAAGGGUUUUGAGCAGUCUUGCGUUCUGUCCUAGAUUGUUCUACCGACCUAUUCCCCUGGAGUAUUCACCUUCAUCGGAGUGUCGUCUACCGUCUUGAAUCAUAUCGUGUCGUCCGUUUGGUUCUAGACCCCGCAAUUCCAAGCGUUGGACAUCCUCGCUAGAUCCUUGGGCAAACGUGCUACGGGUCUCGAAACGUGUUGAUCGAGGAACGUAUCAGGAAGGAAGACACAUUAAACUUCGUAUGAUGGCACACAUAUCUCAGACUUUGAUGAGAGGAAAAAUGGUAAAAUUGAAUAAGGUGAUUAAGUGGAUUAACUUUAAAUAUGAGCGCCGUCCGAAUUUUUGCUACAAAUGUGGAAAAUUGGACACAGCGAAAGGAAUUGCAAAACAAUGGUGGCAAUAGAGAGAGGCCAACUGGAAAACCAAUUUAGUCCCUGGAUGAGAGUUGGAGGAAGUAAUACCUCACCACAGAAGUGCCAAACCAAUAGUAGGUACACAAAUGACAGAAUUCAUUGCGGGUUCAAGAAUGAGGAAUUAGUUCCAAGCAAGGCAGUGGAGGAGUUGCAAACUAUAGAGAUGCAGACUGGGAAGGAAAUGACAAAAGAAGUCAAUACAAAGGCAAGAGGCACUAUUUUUGCAAAAUUUGAGAAAGAGGUAGUUGGAAUUGCACUGUUGGAGGCAAGGGUGAAACAGCAGACUCAAUUAAUUAAGGGAAAUAGUCCAAGGGACACCCCCAAUCAAAGCAACGAUCUGGCAGAAUCAAGCAAUAUCUCUGGUGCCAGAAGCAGCAACCAUGGUGCUGGAAUAGAGGAAAUCCACCUCAAAAACAGCAACCUGGAUGUUAAUAGCCUUAAAAAAGGGUAGGAACUAUAGCAGAAUAAAGAAAGCAGCUUGAUCAGAUAGGGAAAAAUGAAUUGCAGGUAGAAAAAGAGGAAAAGAUGAAAGAGGAGCAAGGAGAGGAAAUGCAGGUUGAUGAAGGAAUUUCUGAAAAGAUAAAGGUGGUAGCAUUAAAAAAAGAAAGGAGAAUGAACAAGCAAAUCAAAUCACCAACAAGAACCAGACAACAAUUAAAGGAGUCAAAUGGACAGUGUAAUAGACCAGAACACCAAGGGAAGCAAAAGGUUAGUUUGAGAAAUGAGGAAAUGAGGGAUGCUGAGAUGGAAGAUCAAGACCAGAAAAGAAAUAGAAUUAUUAAGAUGUCUGUGUGUGAUGCAGGGGAAGAAGUAGGGGUAGAGGCUAGCCCAACCUGGUCUCCAAAAUCCGCAUGAGAAUACUGAUGUGGAGUUCUCAAGGUGCAGGCAGCCCCUUGGCAAUUCCUAGUUGAAGGAGAUUAACAACUUCUUCUCCCCCAAUAUGAUUAUUCUGAGUGAGACAAAAAAUAAGACAAAGUUUAUAAAAAAUUUUAAAAAAAGAUUAAAUUUUAAUGAAUGUUUUGUAGUCGAAGCAAUGGAUAGAUUCGGUGGCAUGACACUUAUGUGGAACAAUGACAUAAAAAUUUAGAGAUCAUACAGUCAACAUUAACCAUUGAAGCACAUGUGUUAGACCUUGAAACACAAAUGGAUUGGUGGUUCAUAGGUAUUUAUGCAAGUUGUUUGGAUCAAGUCAAAGGAAUCAAUGGAAAGUUAUUGGAGAAAGGAAAAUGGAUCUAGGAAAACAUGUGGAUAAUAGCAGGUGCUUGUCAAUGAUAUAGUAUCCAAUGAAAAAAAUAGGGUGGCAAGGCAAGAGAGCAAUAAAGCUUUAGGGAUUUUAGGAAUUUGAUUGCAGAUAAUGAGUUAAUAGAUAUAGGUUUUGAAGGAAAUCCCUGGAUAUGGUGUAAUGAUUGGGACUGGAAGGGUGAAGUAAGACAAAGGCUUCAUAGAGCUCUAUGUAGCCUACUCUGGUUUCAGACUUUUGAUAGCUAAAUGUGCUUGUGUGGAGAAUUAUGGGUCUGAUCAUAGCAUGCUAAUGAUUGACAAUAACCCCCAAAAUCACGGGAAGAAGAAGAGGUUUCUUUUUUAUAAACGUUUGCUACAACAUGAUGAGAUACAUCAAGUGAUCAAGAAUGCUUGAAAUAUAGAUUGUGAAAGGCUAAGAAUGUUUAGACUCACAAAGAAAAUUACCAACUGCAAAAUGGCUCUCCUUAAGUGAAAAAAUAAAUUCCAAGGAAACUCCAAGCUAAAAAUUGCCCAGUUCAAGCAACAAAUGGAGCAAGUGAAAAAAAAAAAAUCAGAUGAAGAGAACAGAAAAGAGAAAAUUAGAGACUUGAAGAUUCAGCUGAAGGAAGCAUACUUAGAAGAAGAAUUGUACUGUAGUCAAGAAAACAGAUGCAUUUUGCCAAGAGAGGGGGAUAAAAACACCCAAUAUUUUCAUGCUAGUGUGAAAGGCAGAAGGAAAAUAGAAUGUAGAAUCUGCAAAGAGAAGACGAAUCAUGGACAGGAAGUGAAGAGGAACUGGGAUUGGAGGUAGUAGGUUACCAUAACCAACUCUUCAACAGUUUAGGGGUGAAGUGUUUAGAUGAAAUUUUAGAUGGUAUACCACAUACAAUUUCUAAGCAAAUGAAUGAUAACCUAACCAAAGUGGUAGAAAAAGUGGACAUCAAGAGUGCAUUGUUCUCCAUGAAUCCAAACAAAUCCCCAGGUAAUGAUGGUACGAGUCCUCUUUUUUUUUCCAAGAAUUCUGGUAUAUUAUUAAAGAUUAUAUCAUCGGUGCCAUCCAAACCUUUUUUCCAUUCUAGCAUUAUGCUCAAGUCUUUGAAUCAUAUGCUGAUCUGUUUAAUUCCUAAAGUGGAAAAUCCCACUAUGUUGAAGCAUUACAGACCCACAAGUGUCUAUAAAGUUCUGUACAAAAUCAUCUCCACAAUCCUCUCUAAUAGACUCGAAAAGGUUUUGAAUGGCUGUAUUAGUAAAAUUUGGCUGCUUUUGUCCCUGGUAGGCAGAUUUUACACAAUGUUUUAAUUUCUUAUGACUUUUGCAUCAUUUAAAAAAGUAAAAAGAGUUUCAUUGACCCUCCAACUCUUUACCAGGUAAAGUUUUAGCCCUCCAAUAAUUAACGGUAAAGUUUUGGCCCUCAAUCUAAUAAAAUAGCAUAUUCAUGGCCCUUCUGUCAGAUCCAGCAAUUAAAUUUGACGGAAAGCAUUAUCUCGUGAGAUGCACGACUAAAUAUCAAGGGCAUUUUAGUCUCUAAAGGAGGGAACCUGAAAAUCUAGAAAGGGAGAGCUUUGGCUGACCCAUCAAGAUUGCAGAUCUAAAUUAUAAAAUUGAGGCUUGAAGUAGCAGAAGGGGUGGAAAUUGUUGGCAGCUGCCGAAUCAUGAUUCAUCAAUUUUUGGAACAGCAGGGCAAGACCGUAGGCAGUAUGCGCCUGCACCACAAGCUUCCAUGUCUGCAAUUGUUUCUUCGGCGUCAGCUUCCAGCAGGCAGUAGGAGUGGAGUGGGAGAGCAAUUGAGUCUGAUAGUGCAUCAGUGGCAGCAGGCUUAGGACUUGGGCUGCCAUGUGAUGGUGGGUCCUUGGAUGGAAUUCUUCUUGUCAACCAUUAAAGACUACCUUUGGUUGAUCCAGACACAAGGAAAAAGGUAUGUCUGAGAUUUAUUGCAACACCAAGGUACUCUAGCACUUCCGCAAGUACUUUGUCAGAACCUUCAGAACCUGAACUCCAUUUUAUGUAUUUACCUCCAACAACCCAAGAUGCAGAUGGUGGGAAAUUUGAGUUUUGUGAAGGCGUAUGGACAUUGAGAUGCCCAAGCACUGCAGAAUACUCGGAUUGACUAAGAGCAAGCAAUGAAUUGUGACUAUCUGGUUCCAGUUGAUGCACAACAAUUAACACUUUCGCCGCAGCAUCCGGAUCGAAUAGUUUGAUUUUUUCGCACUAGGGUUUUGGAGCAAAAGGGGUGGAAAUUGUUGGAGAGAAAAUUAGUGGUUAAAGUGUUUUUACUCUUUCUUUACUCAGAAACUAUAAUACCCUUAAUAUUUGGCCGUACGUCUCGCAAGAUGAUGCUUCUCGUCAAAUUUAACUGCUAGGUUUGACAGAAGGGCCAUGAAUAUUCUAUUUUAUUAGAUUGAGAGCCAAAAUUUUACCUUUAAUUGUUGGAGGGCUAAAACUUUACCUGAUAAAGAGUUGGAGGACCAUUGGGACUCUUUUCCCUUUAAAAAAUAAAAGGCAAGGAAAGGAUGCAUAUUUUGUCUUGAAAUUAGAUAUGUCAAAAGCGUAUGAUAGAGUGAAAUGGAGAUUUUUCGAAGAAAUACUGAAGAGGAUGGACUUUUGUGAUAUGUGGAUCAAGUGGAUCAUGAGUUGUAUCUCAACAAUCACCUACUCCUUCAAUAUCAAUGGAGAGUUAAGAGGAUAUGUGAUUCCAAAGAGAGGAAUCAGACAAGGAGACCCUUUGUCUCCAUACACAUUUUUGCUGUGCUAUGAAGGUUUCACUAAUUUUCCCAAGAAUGCAAGAAAAGAAAAGAGGAUCAUAGGAAUGAAAAUUUGUAGAGAAGGACCAUCAAUAGCUCACUUGUUUAUAACAGGUGAUUCUCUGGUAUUUAGCAAGGCAGAUCGUACUGAUGCAGCUAAGUUGAUACAGAUAUUGAGAAUAUAUGAGAAAGGCUCUGAUCAAGUGAUUAAUUUGAAAAAGUUUUCUGUGUUAUUUAGUAAAAAUGUGUCUCAGUCAACACACAAGGAGAUAUGCAGAAACUUUGAGAACCGUCAAGCUGUAUCCUAAGGGAAAUACCUGGGCUUGCCCAUGGUGAUAACAAGGACAAAACAGCAAAUAUUUGGGUUUAUCAGAGAUAGCUAUGAGAGGAGAAUGAAGCAAUGGAAGAAUAAACUAUUUAGUGCUACUGGUAAAGAAGUGUUACUUAAAGCAGUGUUUAUGGCAUUUUGCACUUAUGCCAUGUCUUGCUUCAAGUUGCCAGUCAAGUUAUGCAAAGAAUUGAGUUCCAUGAUGUCCAAUUUCUGGUAGGGAUAGGCAAAUGGAAAGAAGAAAAUCCACUGGUGUUCUUGGCAAAAACUCACACAAGAGAAGAAGAGGGAUGGACUGAGUUUUAGAGAUCUACAAAAUUUUAAUAGAGCCCUGUUGGAGAAACAAGUAUGGAUACUGAUAACAAAUCCUAAUUCACUGGUAGCCAAGGUUCUAAAAUGCCAAAUAUUAUCCUAAGGAGUCCAUUUUCAAAUAUAACGUCCACCAAAAUGCUUCUUGGAUUUGGCAGAGUUUGAUAGGGGUCAGGGAGAAUGUGGAAAGAGGAACCAGAAGAAAGAUUGGAAAUGGUAAAAGUACAAGAAUAUAGGAUGAUAACUGGAGACCUGAGAAUCCACAAGGGAAGCCUAUAUCAGCUAAGCCUCAGGAAUGCACUGUUCAAAAAGUGGAGGUCCUAAUACACAAUUUCAAGUGGAAGAGACCUCUGGCAGGGAGGAUAGUCUCUUUUGGUUACACAGUGGAAAUGGCCAGGAUACAGUAGACUCAAGAUAUAAGGAACUCAACAGGCAAGGCAGCAUAUGGCAACAAAGGAUCUGCAGGAGAAGAAACAAGCAUGGAGGAGAAGCACUUAUGGAAACAUCUGUGGAAACUCAACAUAAAACACAAAUUGAAGCUAUUUAUUUGGAAAUGCAUGAACAAGGCCCUUCCUAUUAAUGAAGUCAUCUAUAAUAGAAUCAAGAUGGGAACACCAAUAUGAAGAAUCUGUGGAGAGGAUAUAGAGACAAUAGAACAUUUCUUUUUUCAUUGCAGGACAGCUGAGGAAGUGUGGCAGUUAUCACCAGUGAGAUGGGAUGGACUAGAAGAUCAAAAACUUCAGGAAGUGGUGGAGUGCACUGACUGAAGCUAAAUGUAGACUAGAAGGAGUGGAACAUAUAGCACUCACUGUUAAUAUCUUAUGGCAGCUAUGGAAGGCUAGAAAUGGAAGAACCUUCAAUGAGACUCCAAGACAUCCAAUGAAGAUCAUACAGAAGGCACAUGGUGAAUGGCUGGAAUUCACAGAAGUAAGGGAGAAAGAUAAAAAGGAUGAGCACACCAGAAACAACAAGAGCAGAAAGUGUGCAGCAGGAAAGAAACUAGGCAAUUGGUUUAAUAAACCUCAGCAUAAUAACUAAACAGAAAGCAGACAGCUGCGAGAUGGGGAUUUGAAUCAUAGCAGAAAAUAGCAGCUAUCAAGUGCUAGCUCAAUGGGCUGAGGAAAUAAUCUCAUGAACCAUGCUGUGGCCAUAAAACUUGCAUCAUGUAAGGCAAGGGAACAACAGUGGAGAAAGAUCAAGGUAGGAGUCCCACAGCAGCACUUACUAAAGAUGCUAAGAGUCAACAAGUCCAAAGACAUGAGAUUGUACUCCCACCUAGAGGAUAUCCAUAACUUAUGCUCUAUGACUGUGGAAUGCUAAUUUGUUUUGACUAGAACCAAAAAUACUGAUAGAAUUUACUCUAUUAGCAAUUAUGCUCUAAGUAUAUCUUUUGACGAGGUGUGGUUUAACCCUCAGUGCCAUAGUGCACUUGUGUAGCAGCUAAUCGAGCCUUUGCUCACAAAGUGUAAAGUUCAUACACAAUAUCAAUAAAAUCACCAUCGUUUCUGGAGAAAAAAAAAGUCACCAAAGGGCUGCAUGUUUAACCUGAACCGGCAAAUUCUAACGUGGAUGAAUUGAAAUUCACAAAAUACUGCCAAUAUUAAAUUGAUGGUUGAUGGUAUGCGGUGGUCGGUUCGAAAUGCUUUGUUCCAAAUUGAAAUAUCCUCAUCUGGUGACUACAAUAAUGGAUCCUGUCAGUAGUCGACUUUAACAUUGUGAUUGCGUUUAGCUGUUUAGAUUAAAAAAAUGUUUUAGUUAGGUACAAUUGAUCUUAAAUUAGAUGCUAGUAGCAUUCUUGCAUUACAAUUCAGAAACAAAAAGGGUCAAGUAUGUAUGGCGGAGGCGAUGUCAUAGAAAAUGCAAUUUUUCUGGCAGUCAUGAAAGGAAUCUCUAAUUCAAAGGAGCUGAUAACAUAAAUGUGACUUGAAAAUGCAGUUUUAAUGGCAUAUUCUACAGUGACUUGAAAAUACCAAAAGCGCUCACUCAUUCACUAGAAAUAAAGUGAAAUACGCAUGAAAAAGAAAUUAAGAUCAUGAAAUUGUAGAAUCACACUGAUGAUGCACGCCAUUUGGGUAGAAAUUCCUAUGCCAUUAAAACUCUAGCAGAAAUUCCUAUGCCCUCAAAACUCUAGCAAUUUCUUUGAAAGUUUCCGAGAUUUUGAGUGAUGUGUUGUUUAGUCACAUUUUAAUUGCCUAAAUAGAGCAAUACUACACAAGAGGGAUAUCUAAUACAGGAUUACAAAUGAAGGAUUUAGAUAGCAGGAAACUAGAGGAUGUUAUCUUCAGCCAAAGUUAGUACUGGAUGAAGUAAUACUUUGGAUGACAAACAACCUUGAAUAUCUGUAGUUGCUCACCAUAAGGAACAAACAGAGAACCGAAGGUAUGUUAUCCAUAAACUUGAUGCUUUUACAACAAACAGCAGAAAAUCUAAACAAUGAACAAUGCAAACUUUCUUUGAGGGAAAACGUUUUUAUAGCUCUUAAAUUGCAUGAAUGUUUUGAACGUGCAGAAUUAGCGUUUGAUCACAUACAAUUAUCAUUUUCAGGUAAAUUGAGUUGAUAUGAAGAUACAAAGUUUUGUAAUGGAUAUAAAUUAUGAAUGAAUGUUGUGGGCGGAAAAUAAGAUUAAUCUGAAUAAUCGGCCUUUAAGAUCACAAAUGACUGGUGAUAGUUUAGUCAUAGGCAAGCUGGUCGUAUCAAAGAGCAUUGAUAAAUUUCUCCAAUGCAUAUUCAACCCCUCAUUAGUUCCGAACCAGAGGAAUUCAAUCAACAAAGUUGGAAGUUACGGACAGUAAAACAAAUGUUCAACUGCAUAUUUUCAACAUAUGACAGCGUUACUGUACUUCUUUAGGAAGUGAGAAAUUCGACGUCUACAAAUUACCAGAAACAAGUUGAAUUAUUACUGAUAUCAGCACUAAUCAAAGUCCAUAGCAGCGUAAAGCUAAAUUAAAGUUGAAUGUAAACCUAGCAAGGAUAAAGCAACGAUA